GNCNGCGCUGCUACCAUGCAGUCGAACGGUGAACACGGAGCUUGCUCUGUGGGAUCAGUGGCGAACGGGUGAGUAACACGUGAGCAACCUGCCCCUGACUCUGGGAUAAGCGCUGGAAACGGCGUCUAAUACUGGAUAUGUGACGUGACCGCAUGGUCUGCGUUUGGAAAGAUUUUUCGGUUGGGGAUGGGCUCGCGGCCUAUCAGCUUGUUGGUGAGGUAAUGGCUCACCAAGGCGUCGACGGGUAGCCGGCCUGAGAGGGUGACCGGCCACACUGGGACUGAGACACGGCCCAGACUCCUACGGGAGGCAGCAGUGGGGAAUAUUGCACAAUGGGCGAAAGCCUGAUGCAGCAACGCCGCGUGAGGGAUGACGGCCUUCGGGUUGUAAACCUCUUUUAGCAGGGAAGAAGCGAAAGUGACGGUACCUGCAGAAAAAGCGCCGGCUAACUACGUGCCAGCAGCCGCGGUAAUACGUAGGGCGCAAGCGUUAUCCGGAAUUAUUGGGCGUAAAGAGCUCGUAGGCGGUUUGUCGCGUCUGCUGUGAAAUCCCGAGGCUCAACCUCGGGCCUGCAGUGGGUACGGGCAGACUAGAGUGCGGUAGGGGAGAUUGGAAUUCCUGGUGUAGCGGUGGAAUGCGCAGAUAUCAGGAGGAACACCGAUGGCGAAGGCAGAUCUCUGGGCCGUAACUGACGCUGAGGAGCGAAAGGGUGGGGAGCAAACAGGCUUAGAUACCCUGGUAGUCCACCCCGUAAACGUUGGGAACUAGUUGUGGGGUCCAUUCCACGGAUUCCGUGACGCAGCUAACGCAUUAAGUUCCCCGCCUGGGGAGUACGGCCGCAAGGCUAAAACUCAAAGGAAUUGACGGGGACCCGCACAAGCGGCGGAGCAUGCGGGAUUAAUUCGAUGCAACGCGAAGAACCUUACCAAGGCUUGACAUAUACGAGAACGGGCCAGAAAUGGUCAACUCUUUGGACACUCGUAAACAGGUGGUGCAUGGUUGUCGUCAGCUCGUGUCGUGAGAUGUUGGUUAAGUCCCGCAACGAGCGCAACCUCGUUCUAUGUUGCCAGCACGUAAUGUGGGAACUCAUGGGAUACUGCGGGUCAACUCGGAGGAGGUGGGGAUGACGUCAAUCAUCAUGCCCUAUGUCUGGCUUCACGCAUGCUAACAAUGGNCGUACAAAGGCUGCCAAAUACGUG
RNAcentral lists this ribosomal RNA (1199 nucleotides) under Bacillota bacterium. Its description in RNAcentral is "bacterial SSU rRNA". It matches the Rfam family "Bacterial small subunit ribosomal RNA", at positions 38 to 1259 of the family's 1533-position model. The record is from RNAcentral. Lineage: Bacteria; Bacillati; Bacillota.